RNAcentral lists this transfer RNA (67 nucleotides) under Phytobia cambii. RNAcentral's name for it is "tRNA-Ile". The record is from RNAcentral. Lineage: Eukaryota; Metazoa; Arthropoda; Insecta; Diptera; Agromyzidae.
AGUGAAUUGCCUGAUUAAAAGGAUUACCUUGAUAGGGUAAAUUAUGAAAAUAAAUUUUCAUUUACUA